Molecule: ribosomal RNA, 1669 nt
Filed under: human gut metagenome
Description: bacterial LSU rRNA
Rfam family: Bacterial large subunit ribosomal RNA
Source: RNAcentral
UGAAACAUCUAAGUACCCCGAGGAAAAGAAAUCAACCGAGAUUCCCCCAGUAGCGGCGAGCGAACGGGGAGGAGCCCGAUGAGUAGCGCGGGACACGAGAAAUCCUGUGUGAAUCCGGCGGGACCAUCCGCCAAGGCUAAAUACUCGCAAGAGACCGAUAGCGAACCAGUACCGUGAGGGAAAGGUGAAAAGACACUGCGAAAAGACAGAGUGAAAARGUUACCUGAAACCGUACGCCUACAAGCGGUCGGAGCACCUUCGGGUGUGACGGCGUGCCUUUUGCAUAAUGAACCUACGAGUUGUCGUCACCGGCAAGGUUAAGUGCUACGRAGCACGAAUCCGAAGCGAAAGCGAGUCCGAAUAGGGGCGGCUAGUCAGUGGCGGCAGACGCGAAACCAAGUGAUCUACCCUUGUCCAGGUUGAAGUCCGGGUAACACCGGAUGGAGGACCGCACCAAUAAGCGUUGAAAAGCUUCUGGAUGAGGUGAGGGUAGGAGUGAAAGGCCAAUCAAACUUGGAGAUAGCUCGUACUCCCCGAAAUGCAUUUAGGUGCAGCCUCGGGAGUUCCCUGCGUGAGGUAGAGCGACAAACUCCGAAUGCGCGCAGGUAAGAUCCCGGGAGUGAGGGCAUGGGUGCUAAGGUCCGUGCCCGAGAGGAGAAGAAUCCAGACCGCCGGCUAAGGCCCCGAAAUAUGGGUUAAGUUAAACUAACGAAGUUCGGUUCCUAAGACAGCUAGGAUGUUGGCUUGGAAGCAGCCAUUCAUUCAAAGAGUGCGUAACAGCUCACURGUCGAGRGUCCSKGCAUGGAUAAUAAUCGGGUAUAAGRCAGAYACCGAAGGCGCGGGAUAGCAGAGAAAUGAAAAGUAUCGGUAGGGGAGCAUACUCACAGCGUCGAAUGGUGUACGUAAGUUAUCCUGGAGCGGUGAGUAAAGCAAAUGUAGGAAUAAGUAACGAUAAGGAGGGUUAGAUUCCCUCCCGCUGUAAGACCAAGGUUUCCCGGGCAAUGCCAAUCAGCCCGGGGUCAGUCGGGUCCUAAGUCUAAGCCGAACGGCGAUGGCGAUGGCAGAGACGGUUAAUAUUCCGUCACUGCCGCAUGGGGCGACGUGGAGACGGAGCAGUGAAACCACCGCGGGGCGACGGAAGUCCCCGUUGAAGAGUGUAGGYGUUGAGGAUGGCAGGCAAAUCCACCAUCCGAGCUGAACUUGAKAGUAUGGAGUCUUCUUCGGAAGAAUCCAAUAGUGUGGGUAAUCAUACUCCCGAGAAAAUCCGCUAAGCUUAACCCAUGCGGCACCCGUACCGCAAACGGACACACGUGGUCGGGUAGAACAUACUAAGGCGUUGAGAGAUUCAUGGUUAAGGAACUAGGCAAAUUGACCCUGUAACUUCGGGAUAAAGGGUCCUCGUGAAGAGCGAGGCGCAGAGAAUAGGUCCAGGCAACUGUUUAAACAAAAACACAGGGCUGUGCAAACUCGAAAGAUGAGGUAUACAGCCUGACACCUGCCCGGUGCCGGAAGGUUAAGAGGAGAUGUCACACGCAAGUGGAAGCAUUGAAGUUGAAGCCCCGGUAAACGGCGGCCGUAACUAUAACGGUCCUAAGGUAGCGAAAUUCCUUGUCGGGUAAGUUCCGACCUGCACGUAAUGGUGUAAUGAUCCGGACGCUGUCUCAACCA